Molecule: ribosomal RNA, 1345 nt
Filed under: uncultured bacterium
Lineage: Bacteria
Description: bacterial SSU rRNA
Rfam family: Bacterial small subunit ribosomal RNA
Source: RNAcentral
GACGAACGUUGGCGGCGUGCUUAACACAUGCAAGUCGAACGGAAAGGCCCUGCUUUUGUGGGGUGCUCGAGUGGCGAACGGGUGAGUAACACGUGAGUAACCUGCCCUUGACUUUGGGAUAACUUCAGGAAACUGGGGCUAAUACCGGAUAGGAGCUCCUGCAGCAUGGUGGGGGUUGGAAAGUUUCGGCGGUUGGGGAUGGACUCGCGGCUUAUCAGCUUGUUGGUGGGGUAGUGGCUUACCAAGGCUUUGACGGGUAGCCGGCCUGAGAGGGUGACCGGCCACAUUGGGACUGAGAUACGGCCCAGACUCCUACGGGAGGCAGCAGUGGGGAAUAUUGCACAAUGGGCGGAAGCCUGAUGCAGCAACGCCGCGUGCGGGAUGACGGCCUUCGGGUUGUAAACCGCUUUCGCCUGUGACGAAGCGUGAGUGACGGUAAUGGGUAAAGAAGCACCGGCUAACUACGUGCCAGCAGCCGCGGUGAUACGUAGGGUGCGGGCGUUGUCCGGAUUUAUUGGGCGUAAAGGGCUCGUAGGUGGUUGAUCGCGUCGGAAGUGUAAUCUUGGGGCUUAACCCUGAGCGUGCUUUCGAUACGGGUUGACUUGAGGAAGGUAGGGGAGAAUGGAAUUCCUGGUGGAGCGGUGGAAUGCGCAGAUAUCAGGAGGAACACCAGUGGCGAAGGCGGUUCUCUGGGCCUUUCCUGACGCUGAGGAGCGAAAGCGUGGGGAGCGAACAGGCUUAGAUACCCUGGUAGUCCACGCUGUAAACGGUGGGUACUAGGUGUGGGGUCCAUUCCACGGGUUCCGUGCCGUAGCUAACGCUUUAAGUACCCCGCCUGGGGAGUACGGCCGCAAGGCUAAAACUCAAAGGAAUUGACGGGGCCCCGCACAAGCGGCGGAGCAUGCGGAUUAAUUCGAUGCAACGCGUAGAACCUUACCUGGGUUUGACAUGGAUCGGGAGUGCUCAGAGAUGGGUGUGCCUCUUUUGGGGUCGGUUCACAGGUGGUGCAUGGCUGUCGUCAGCUCGUGUCGUGAGAUGUUGGGUUAAGUCCCGCAACGAGCGCAACCCUUGUUCACUGUUGCCAGCACGUUAUGGUGGGGACUCAGUGGAGACCGCCGGGGUCAACUCGGAGGAAGGUGGGGAUGACGUCAAGUCAUCAUGCCCCUUAUGUCCAGGGCUUCACGCAUGCUACAAUGGCUGGUACAGAGAGUGGCGAGCCUGUGAGGGUGAGCGAAUCUCGGAAAGCCGGUCUCAGUUCGGAUUGGGGUCUGCAACUCGACCUCAUGAAGUCGGAGUCGCUAGUAAUCGCAGAUCAGCAACGCUGCGGUGAAUACGUUCCCGGGGC